RNAcentral lists this ribosomal RNA (208 nucleotides) under proteobacterium enrichment culture clone E74. RNAcentral's name for it is "partial 16S ribosomal RNA". It matches the Rfam family "Bacterial small subunit ribosomal RNA", at positions 124 to 348 of the family's 1533-position model. Lineage: Bacteria; Pseudomonadati; Pseudomonadota. The record is from RNAcentral.
ACGUGCCCUUUGGUUCGGAACAACUCAGGGAAACUUGAGCUAAUACCGGAUGUGCCCUUCGGGGGAAAGAUUUAUCGCCAUUGGAGCGGCCCGCGUAGGAUUAGCUAGUUGGUGGGGUAAUGGCCCACCAAGGCUCCGAUCCUUAGCUGGUCUGAGAGGAUGAUCAGCCACACUGGGACUGAGACACGGCCCAGACUCCUACGGGAGG